AUUGAACGCUGGCGACAGGCCUAACACAUGCAAGUCGAACGAGUGGCGGACGGGUGAGUAAUGUCUGGGAAACUGCCUGAUGGAGGGGGAUAACUACUGGAAACGGUAGCUAAUCCCGCAUACCAUCGGAUGUGCCCCGCUGGGAUUAGCUAGUAGGUGUGGUAACGGCUCACCUAGGCGACGAUCCCUAGCUGGUCUGAGAGGAUGACCAGCCAAACUGGAACUGAUACACGGUCCAGACUCCGACGGGAGGCAGCAGGGGGGAAUAUUGCACAAUGGGGGCAAGCCUGAUGCAGCCAUGCCGCGUGUAUGAAGAAGGCCUUCGGGUUGUAAAGUACUUUCAGCGGGGAGGCGUUACCCGCAGAAGAAGCACCGGCUAACUCCGUGCCAGCCGCCGCGGUAAUUC
This 406-nucleotide ribosomal RNA is filed under the name uncultured bacterium. Its description in RNAcentral is "partial 16S ribosomal RNA". It matches the Rfam family "Bacterial small subunit ribosomal RNA", at positions 30 to 526 of the family's 1533-position model. The record is from RNAcentral.